AGAAAGGAAAUUUUUUUUCUUAAAUGUAGAAAGGAAAAUGCUACUGGAAUGAUGAAGUCUCAGAUUUUCUUUCCUAAUGGCAGGCAGUUUCUGUGGGUGAAGAACAAGCAUGCUAUUAAAUUCAUUAUUAUAAUCAUCAUCUUUUAAAUCUUCUUAUUCUUCCUUCAGAUUUCCAGAAGUUGUGCAUGAGUUCCUGUGGAGAGAAUUGGAGUCUUGGGCAGCAAAGGCAGCUGCAAUGCAGUUUACUGAGAUGAGGAUAACAGGAAGCAUCAGGACAGUCAUGCCCGUGAGAACUCUAAACUAUUCAGGUAGUCAUUUCAUUUUUAAUCUGUCCUCAAAAUAGGUUUUGUUUUCCGUAUUUUGAAACUUUUAUGAUUGUUUUGUUUAGUUGUACUCUUUUACCUUCCCC
RNAcentral lists this long non-coding RNA (409 nucleotides) under Fukomys damarensis (Damara mole-rat). RNAcentral's name for it is "lncRNA (ENSFDAG00000024355.1)". Lineage: Eukaryota; Metazoa; Chordata; Mammalia; Rodentia; Bathyergidae. The record is from RNAcentral.